GACGUAGGGCGCGAGCGUUGUCCGGAUUUAUUGGGCGUAAAGAGCUCGUAGGCGGCUUGUCGCGUCGACCGUGAAACCUCACAGCUCAACUGUGAGCCUGCGGUCGAUACGGGCAGGCUAGAGUUCGGUAGGGGAGACUGGAAUUCCUGGUGUAGCGGUGAAAUGCGCAGAUAUCAGGAGGAACACCGGUGGCGAAGGCGGGUCUCUGGGCCUUACCUGACACUGAGGAGCGAAAGCGUGGGGAGCGAACAGG
RNAcentral lists this ribosomal RNA (253 nucleotides) under uncultured bacterium. Its description in RNAcentral is "partial 16S ribosomal RNA". It matches the Rfam family "Bacterial small subunit ribosomal RNA", at positions 524 to 776 of the family's 1533-position model. The record is from RNAcentral.